RNAcentral lists this ribosomal RNA (548 nucleotides) under Paenarthrobacter nitroguajacolicus. Its description in RNAcentral is "bacterial SSU rRNA". It matches the Rfam family "Bacterial small subunit ribosomal RNA", at positions 151 to 712 of the family's 1533-position model. The record is from RNAcentral. Lineage: Bacteria; Bacillati; Actinomycetota; Actinomycetes; Micrococcales; Micrococcaceae.
GGGAAACUGGGUCUAAUACCGGAUACGACCAUCUGGCGCAUGUCAUGGUGGUGGAAAGCUUUUGUGGUUUUGGAUGGACUCGCGGCCUAUCAGCUUGUUGGUGGGGUAAUGGCCUACCAAGGCGACGACGGGUAGCCGGCCUGAGAGGGUGACCGGCCACACUGGGACUGAGACACGGCCCAGACUCCUACGGGAGGCAGCAGUGGGGAAUAUUGCACAAUGGGCGCAAGCCUGAUGCAGCGACGCCGCGUGAGGGAUGACGGCCUUCGGGUUGUAAACCUCUUUCAGUAGGGAAGAAGCGAAAGUGACGGUACCUGCAGAAGAAGCGCCGGCUAACUACGUGCCAGCAGCCGCGGUAAUACGUAGGGCGCAAGCGUUAUCCGGAAUUAUUGGGCGUAAAGAGCUCGUAGGCGGUUUGUCGCGUCUGCUGUGAAAGACCGGGGCUCAACUCCGGUUCUGCAGUGGGUACGGGCAGACUAGAGUGCAGUAGGGGAGACUGGAAUUCCUGGUGUAGCGGUGAAAUGCGCAGAUAUCAGGAGGAACACCGA